GGCCUUCCAGUGCUUACUGCAGGCUGUGUUCUUACACAGACUGUACAGAGGGAGGAGGCAGAGUUAAUCCACCCCAUACACACCUCAGCCCCGGCCCUUUGCCUGGUCUGUAUUGUGAAUGGGGGGACAUGG
Small nucleolar RNA from Molossus molossus (Pallas's mastiff bat), 132 nucleotides. RefSeq annotates it as small nucleolar RNA SNORA51. The record is from RefSeq and is a predicted model, not a curated record. Lineage: Eukaryota; Metazoa; Chordata; Mammalia; Chiroptera; Molossidae. The transcript has a single exon.